Molecule: ribosomal RNA, 849 nt
Filed under: Escherichia coli
Lineage: Bacteria; Pseudomonadati; Pseudomonadota; Gammaproteobacteria; Enterobacterales; Enterobacteriaceae
Description: partial 23S ribosomal RNA
Rfam family: Bacterial large subunit ribosomal RNA
Source: RNAcentral
CGGCAAGACGGAAAGACCCCGUGAACCUUUACUAUAGCUUGACACUGAACAUUGAGCCUUGAUGUGUAGGAUAGGUGGGAGGCUUUGAAGUGUGGACGCCAGUCUGCAUGGAGCCGACCUUGAAAUACCACCCUUUAAUGUUUGAUGUUCUAACGUUGACCCGUAAUCCGGGUUGCGGACAGUGUCUGGUGGGUAGUUUGACUGGGGCGGUCUCCUCCUAAAGAGUAACGGAGGAGCACGAAGGUUGGCUAAUCCUGGUCGGACAUCAGGAGGUUAGUGCAAUGGCAUAAGCCAGCUUGACUGCGAGCGUGACGGCGCGAGCAGGUGCGAAAGCAGGUCAUAGUGAUCCGGUGGUUCUGAAUGGAAGGGCCAUCGCUCAACGGAUAAAAGGUACUCCGGGGAUAACAGGCUGAUACCGCCCAAGAGUUCAUAUCGACGGCGGUGUUUGGCACCUCGAUGUCGGCUCAUCACAUCCUGGGGCUGAAGUAGGUCCCAAGGGUAUGGCUGUUCGCCAUUUAAAGUGGUACGCGAGCUGGGUUUAGAACGUCGUGAGACAGUUCGGUCCCUAUCUGCCGUGGGCGCUGGAGAACUGAGGGGGGCUGCUCCUAGUACGAGAGGACCGGAGUGGACGCAUCACUGGUGUUCGGGUUGUCAUGCCAAUGGCACUGCCCGGUAGCUAAAUGCGGAAGAGAUAAGUGCUGAAAGCAUCUAAGCACGAAACUUGCCCCGAGAUGAGUUCUCCCUGACUCCUUGAGAGUCCUGAAGGAACGUUGAAGACGACGACGUUGAUAGGCCGGGUGUGUAAGCGCAGCGAUGCGUUGAGCUAACCGGUACUAAUGAACCGUGAGG